GUGAGGUCACUACCUUUCUCAUGGAACAUUCCCUGGUUGCUAUGACAAUGGGGCCCAAACAAACCACAUUCUCAGCCAGGUGAGGCUGGCCACACUUGGUACUGCACUCUCCAAAGAGGACAUUGGGCGGGGAAGAAGUUCUGGAGACUCGAAGGAUUGGGGCCCAGCCGGCCAUUGAAGCUACUGCCAGAACAGGAGCCAGGAGCCACACGUGAGUCUUUGAUGGGAUAUGGUUGUGGGAACAAUUACACAGGAGAGAUGCUGGGAGGAAUCCAGAAGACAAGAGGGGAGCCUACCAGGCCAGGCAGAAGACAGAGAACCUGAGGCUGUGGGGAGAGAGGGCAGUGUCCUUGUUAGCCCUGAAUGAAGGAUGGGCAGAUGACUCAGGGAGGACCAUUCUCCUGUGAGGUGCCCAACUUGCUGUGGCUUCUAUAGCCCCAACUCCACCCCAGGUCUUCACACCUCUUGCACUGUCUCAAGGUGGGCCAUUUUUGAGGAAUACAGGAAGUGCAUCUUGGCUGGUGCAAGGAGAAUCCCCUGAGGAGACCAGGGAGAUCAGAAGGAGCAAAUGGGUGGAAGCCAGAUUUUGAAAGGCCUGAAAGAGUUUGGACUUUCUCCACAACCUGGG
Molecule: long non-coding RNA, 628 nt
Filed under: Monodelphis domestica (gray short-tailed opossum)
Lineage: Eukaryota; Metazoa; Chordata; Mammalia; Didelphimorphia; Didelphidae
Description: lncRNA (ENSMODG00000038559.1)
Source: RNAcentral